This 7050-nucleotide long non-coding RNA is filed under the name Homo sapiens (human). RNAcentral describes it as "HSALNT0217815". Lineage: Eukaryota; Metazoa; Chordata; Mammalia; Primates; Hominidae. The record is from RNAcentral.
GUUAAGUGCAUGCAUAUCAAUAUUCGCAACGUCUUCUUGAAAAAAUUGACCCUUUCCUAACUAUAAAAUGUCACUAUCUUUGGGAAUACUCCUUGUCUUGAGGUCUCUUUUAUUUGAUUUUUAAAUAGCCUUCCCAGCUUUCUUAUGCUUUUGUUUUCUUGGUACGGCUUUUGUCCAGCUAGUUAAAUAUAGAAUAAUAGAUAUGUUUGGAAGCAAAUAAAAUAAUGGCAAGAAUAGUUUUGAAGUGAAUGACAGUGAGCCAGAGAUAAAGUUUACAAGGACUGAGACUCCUUGUUGCAGAAAUGAAGCAGUGGGUUUCCUCGCCUGGGAGCAAGAGUUGCAGAGUGGAGGCUCCUGGGGGGAGAAAACUGGCCACGAAUGGCAACAAGAACAUCUGUGACGCGCGCACCCCAGCUCCCCCCACUGCUCACCCAUCCCUCAACAAUAUCAGGGCUCUGUGACAAGGCGGCAGGGGUUGCAUCGAGGCAUUUUUUGGACAUGCACCCUGUGCCAUCUUCUGUGCCAACCCUGAUGGUGCAAGGAAUGAGGCCAGAUACACUCCCUGUUGUCCUCAAGCAUCAGAAGGCCUCCUAGGAAGAAAAAUGAGUGCUACUAGCACAAGUUCUGGAGAAGAGUGAAACCACUCCCAGCUGAGGCAGCCAGAAAAGACUUCCUCACCACUGGUACCAUUCCACUGGCUCCACCGCACAUCUGAACCUCCGCAUCUCACUUCUUCCACUAGUACCAUCUACUCUAAGGGCAGAGAUAAUGCCUUUAAACCCUAAGAUGAGUAGUGAAGCUCUGCAGAGAGCAGAUGUCACAUACAGCUAAGCGUCAGAAGGUGAUAUUGAGAACACACAAUUUUGGAGAUAUUGGCUGUAGAUAAAUAAUGAUCAUUGUUGAUAGUCCCAGAAUUUCCAUGCUUGAACUGGCAAUUCUGAGAAACAUGUGUCUUUGGUUCCUGGGUCUUCUUUUCUACACUGCCAUUUGAUUCAGAUCAAAAAGCAUAAGCUGCCACUGGCCUCCUUCCUUCCCUUCAUGCUAGAUGAGCAUAAUCUCCACUCUUGUUUUCGUUUCCCCAUCUUUGACACAUCACAUGCUCCACCUUGUUUGCAGUGACAAGCAGUGUGGAAGGGAACGCUGGCUUCCCUGAUCAAAGAGGCAAGGCUGGUUCUGCAGCAAAGACAUUCCAGGAAUAGAGGUUCAAAGAUUUCAUCUGUUUGUCCAACUGUCCCCAUCUUAAGCCUACUCCUUUUCAAUCAUGGCCUCUACUGUAACAAAGGGGACUGGUUCCAACUGUCUGCCUUGGGCCUGCGCUUCAGCCACACCUGCUUUGGCUGUAGGAGGUACAGUAUUCCUUUGUGACCUCUGUGAGGGUUUCUUCACAAUUCCUCUUGUGCCUUAAAUCAGGUGUUCAAUUCUUAAGCUUGGAUUAAACUGUCAUAGCUCUCUGGAACUGUUGCAGCAGGUGGCCCAUGACUGCAGACCCUCCAUUAUCACAACAGCUACUGUGCACUGGGCUGCCCUGGCCUGGCCACUUCCAGCACCCCACUGCACAUGGUGAAUCCCCAGCAUGUCUUUCCCCCAGCAAAAAUAUCCUGUGACCACUCACCAGGUAUGUCAACAACCUAAUUCUGGAGUCUCCUACUGAGGAUAUAUUUCUGGGGCUACUCCUUGUUCCAAUUACUGUAUAAAUCAGGAUCUGGGCAAGAAACAGAUGGUACCCACAAAGCAUCCAAGUGCAGAUCAUUGGUUGGAAAAGCAGUUUAUAAGGCAUAAGUACAAAUAAUGCUCCAAUAAGGGAUGAUAAGGCUGAGAGAUGCCCAGGCAUAGCAACAGUUAGGACAAUGACAAUUUUGGCUUGGAGUGACAAGAGGAGGAAGUGUUUUCACCAGAGGCUGGGGAGAGCUGGAGCCAUGGAAACCUAUCCAACAGGAGCUGUGGCCAUAGAGGAACACAACCACUGCCAGACCCACAGUCAGGCAAGAUCAGAUCAGCCUGACAUCUUUAUCUCUAUACCAACCCACAGUUUCCUGCUGAUGCCCAUUGUCUGAAUCCACCCUGAAGCCAGCAUGCAAGGAAACCCAGUGAUGCAGUCGAAAUGUCAGCCUCCCACACGCAGCAGAGUGCAGGAUCAACCUAACGGGACAAGUGGAGAAUAAUCUGCACCUGUAUUAGGAGAAAGAAUGAAAAUUAGUGGGUAAUUUUCAUAGGCUAUUCCUGAAGUUGAUGCACAUCCCACUGUCCUGCAUUUCACAGGUUGGAACUCAGCCACAUCUCAAGGGAAGCACUAAAACCCAGUCUUGUGUACCCAGCAUCAGAGGCUCUAGUGAAUGACUAGCCAGUCUCUGCCAUGGAUAUUUUCUAAUAUCUUUACUCCAAAGUUUGAGUGAAAAAGGAAGAGGGGAGGAGAUCCAAAUAAAAAGGAAAAGUGGGUGCUCUACUGAAUAUUCACUGGGCCUGUUGCACUUCUCAAGGCAGGCAAAGGCUGGUAGGGUAUUGCUUCACACUUCUUAGCAUGACAAUGAUAUGCUUAUCUGACAAAAUUAUAGCAACAUGCAGUCAAGCCUUUCAGUAGCCUUUGAGUAUCAUCAUGAAAAACUACAUGCCCCUCACAAAGGCACAUGUGUAUUCAAUGACAGAACCCUUAAACUUCCAAAGAAAAGAUAGAGGCAAAUUCCCAGAGUACAAGUAAUCAGGGAAGCAGGACAAAUCUCUUGAGAUUCUAGUGAGGAUGUUGCUGUCAAGGCUGUGUAUGAAGAGAGACCUCAUGUUUGGAGACCUUGGACAGCUCCAUUCACGCAGCAUUGAGUUUUGCUUUAGGCUCAUGCCCAGGCUCAGGCUAACCUCAUGGUGCUUGUCUUAUAUUAGAAUAUUUUUAAAGCUCUCUUUGCGAAAUCUGAUGUCAGAGUUAGAAUGUCAACUGCUUGUCAAAACGUACAUAAUUUGAUGCCAGAUUUUUUAAUGUCAAGCAUAAUCACAGAUAUCAUCCACAUAUGCCCAGAGAAGCUACCCAAAGGAAACUGAAACCAUAUUGCUAACAUCACUGACUGUGGCAAGAAAAUGUAAUCAACAAAGGCAUCUUGAGAUUAAGAAAGUUGAAACCUCAGUGAGGCUGCUUCUCUGUAAAAAAGAACUCCAAAGACCCACAACACAGUGGGACCUGUCCACAGUCCCAAUCCAAUUGAUGGUAUGAAAGCAUUGUUUUUCUCUAAAGCAUUUUCAGGUCUCAGCAGUAUUCAAGGGCACCUUUAAAAGCAGUGCACAUGUGUCAGGUGAGCAUCAGGGCAGCUCAACCUGGUGCCCCCGGUGCAGUUGUGGGUGAUGAAGACACAGGAUAGUGCUAAGCCAGAGGAGGAAAGGAGAAAGAGCAUAGCUCAAGCCCAGACCCAAGGGUGAAUAUAUUUUGAGAAUCACUCUGUGUUGGUUUCCAUUGGAUUUCCUGACUGUGUGGAAAGGUGGUGCUUUGUCUCUCUUGGGCAAAAGCUGAACAGAAACAGACUUACCUGCAUUAUGCCAAGUGCCUGAGGACUUCUAAAGUCCAUGUAUUUUUCCAUGAGAGGUGAGUGGUGCCGGUUAAGAGUUGCCAGAAUGUGGAGAGAGAGGAAAGUAGAGGGGGAAGCCGAUGUGCCUGCAGGAAGCAGGGUAAAGUUGAGGUGAGGGGUGGGCUGGCGAGUGAAGGGAGUUUGCUAGAGAGUAAGAGAGAAAGGCGAGCACGUGAGGAAGAGCAAUCUUUCCAGCAAUCAGGACAAGCAGAACGUGCUUGCAUCUCCAGCACUGCAGUGGCUGCUGAAUGCCACUGGGGCAUUCAGUAUGACCACCCACACCCAAGCACGCGUGAGCAGGCAGUGUGUAUUUCAGCACAGAUAAUGUUUUCGGGUGUGUAUAGAGGAAAAAAGCAAAUCAUUUCCUCCUCUUACUAUACUCUCUGCACUCUCCAUACGUCACAUCUGACAUCAGUUAUGUAAGUAUCUGCCACACCAAGCAAUUCCUCAAUUCUCUGUGGACACCGGCAGGGCAUCUUACAGUUUAACUCAAUUCUGGUGCUAUCUCCUUGUGAUAGCAUCAGAUCCUGCAGGUUAAGGGCUCAGGUUCACAAAGCUUCCCCCACUUCAGACGCCAGUCACAAACAGCAGGACCCUAGGCUACCUGCAACUUCUGUCUGACUUGCUUACAAGUCGGAGGUCCCCACAGCACCCACUUUAUGUCUGAUAAUAGCAAAUUAUCCAUAGCAAUGGAGGCUCACUGAACUUAGGCAAACAUUACUAUUAUUGGUUUAUUAUAAAGCAUGCAAAUCAACAGCUAGGUGAAGAGAUACAUAGGGUGAGGUUUGGAAGGGUUCCAAGCACAGCAGCCUCUGUCCCAGUGGAUUUGGGUUGCAUGACCACCUCACAACAUGUGGAUGUCUGCAGCAUCCCAAAAGCUCCCAGAAUCCCAUUGUUCAGGGAUUCUUAUGGAGGCUUCAUCAUCUAGGUAUGACAGAUUAUUAACUCAAACUCCGUGUUUCUCCCUUUCCCUGAGGAUGGUGGAAGGAGGAAAUUGAAAGCUCCAAGCUUCUAAUCACGGCUUGGACUUUCUGGUGACCAGUGCCUAUCCAGGAACCAUGAAGAGUUGCCUAAGAGCAAGAGAUGCGGCCGGGCGCGGUGGCUCACGCCUGUAAUCCCAGCACUUUGGGAGGCCAAGGUGGGCAGAUCACCUCCUGAGGUCUGAACUUCGAGACCAGCCUGACCAACGUGGAGAAACCCCGUCUCUACUAAAAAUACAAAAUUAGCUGGGCAUGGUGGUGCAUGCCUGUAAUUCCAGCUACUCAGGAGGCUGAGGCAAGAGAAUCACUUGAACCCAGGAGGUGGAGGUUGCAGUGAGCAGAGAUUGUGCCAUUGCACUCCAGCCUGGGCAACAAGAGCAAAACUCCAUCUGAAAAAAAAAGAAAAAAAAAAGAACAAGAGAUCCUCCAGUCACCCAGGACAUUUCAAGGGAUUUAGGAGAUUUGUGCCAGGAACUGGCUUCAAAAACCAAAUAUUAGAACAAAAGAUUCUCCUAAUAUCUCUAUCUACAAGGGUUUUAGGAGCCUUAUGUCAGAAAUGGCGGAUAGAUUAUAUGCAUAGUCUUAUUAUUCACAGGGUUGAAUGUAUGUUUAUAGUAGAGGAGAAAUAUCUAUGGUUGGUGGUAGAAACCAAGGUGCUUAGCGUGCUCUGAGGCAGGAAAUGCAGGCUUUAAUAGCCUAUCCUGUUCCUUUCCUGAACACCCAAGCAAUGCAUCAGGUACAGAGCAAAACACCAUCUGGGUACAAAUGGCAAGUCCCUAACUUUCCUUUCUUUUCAUGAAUAGGGUAGGUGCACCCUUGAUUAGUUAACCAUACCCACAAAUCAAGUACCUAGAUAUGCAUUCGUUUCCUCUAAGGGCCAUCUCAAAGUACAGAGCUGCUCACCUCCCUUUAGAGAAUCCAGUUUAAAGAACACGUAUUGUAAUCCUGGAGAGCGUCCUAGAAACUCACAAAUAGGUGUAACUGAACACUUCUCCCAGGACUUACUGGAUUUGACAGAUCUAAUUCAAGAUUGUAGGAAACAUCUUUUCUCUAGCGGGUUGUUGUUGAAAAUUGAAACAAUUUCUCUAGUCUCACCAUAGUUUGAAAAAAAAUCCCCCUGAGGCGGCUCGAGGAGGUUUAACUAAAUUCACUCAGAAGUCUCAAAAUAACCACUGCUGUGAGGUGCACGUGCUCGCAUGCUUCCAGUGGCUAACACUGAAUUAACAAGCUGACUCCCUGCGGAGGCUGUGGCUAGUUGGCCAUGUAAGUUGAGUCCAAGGGACUCAUCUGAGCUGUUUCCAUAAAAGACAAACAGUCUUAUAAACAAAAUAAAUGAACCACACGAUAAACAUUUCUGGCCAGAAUCUGGAGCUUGAAUUUUUCUAAACAAUCUCUCAGGAAGGUAAUUUUCAGGUGAAGACAUGAUGACAACAUAUCCCCUUAAAAGUGACAAAAACAUAUGAACUAUUGGUCACUCUAUAUGAAUCCAUCAUUAUUUUUGGCCACAUCAGUAAAGAAACUAAAAACUUCAGAGGAACAAGAUGAUCUAAAGCUGGUGAGAAUAUUAGGAGUUUAAAUGAUUUUUUCAAUGUAAGAAACUGUUGGGAAAUGUACCUGGACAAUCACACGCGUGUAGAGACUCCAGCUGCACAUAUUCAAUCUGUCAUUAGAAGGAAGCCCUUCCAGACAGCACCCUCAUCAUCAAAUGAAAAAGCACCUCCCUGGGGCCCGUUCUCCGCUCUGUCUCACUGACGGGCCUGACGAUUUCUCCACGGUAGAAGCUAGACUAAGUUCUUAUCACCUGCCUCCCCAGAAGCUACCCCAGCACCUCAAGCGGCCAGGGCAUUCUGUGUUUCCCAAUUCCAGGAUUGUGUAUGGUUCAGCACAUCCACUAGGGACUAAGCCCUUUACAACAGCACUCACUGAGGGAGGCUGUGAACUGGGUAUGGUAAGAAAAAAACCCAUGUUUUUCUGUUUGUUUUGUUCCUUGGCCUUCAGCAUUCAUUUAUUUUCUGGGAAUCACAUUCAUCUUUUCCUCUGGGAAAAGAAAUGCACCUUGACUCUCAGCCCAUGUGCACCCAAGACUGGAGACUGAAUUGCUUCAAGGAUAACCAUAUGACUAGAUCAGAGCCAGUGAAUGCAAAGAUAGGCAUUCAGGGGGACCUGGGACUCUUGUUCCUUCCUGCUGGAUGCCAGGACCUCUACCAGAAUGACAGAAAUGAAAAAGAGUGACAACACCAAAUGCUGGUGAGGAUGCAGAGGAAUGGGAUCCUUCGGACACUGCUGGUGGAAACACGAAAUGGUGUAACCACUGUGGAAAACAGUUUAGCAGGUGGUUUUAAAAAGUACAUAACAUGUCAAUUGGUACAUUUUAGCAGAUGUUAAAAUUAACUAAGAACUUCUGUUGUAGUGGUGCAAAAAUCAAUGGUGUCCUUCUAUUGCCUUGCUUUAUACAUUCUUUUAGAAAAUGUCAGAUUUCCAAUUGAACUAAAUUGUGGACCUUUCUAUUAAUUUAAUGGUUUUGU